Molecule: ribosomal RNA, 406 nt
Filed under: uncultured bacterium
Lineage: Bacteria
Description: bacterial SSU rRNA
Rfam family: Bacterial small subunit ribosomal RNA
Source: RNAcentral
AUUGAACGCUGGCGGCAUGCCUUACACAUGCAAGUCGAACGGCAGCACGGGGGCAACCCUGGUGGCGAGUGGCGAACGGGUGAGUAAUGCAUCGGAACGUGUCCUCUUGUGGGGGAUAACCAGUCGAAAGAUUGGCUAAUACCGCAUGAGAUCGAGAGAUGAAAGCGGGGGACCCGAGGGUAACUUCGGGCCUCGCGCGAGAGGAGCGGCCGAUGCCGGAUUAGCAGUUGGUGGGGUAAGAGCCUACCAAGGCGACGAUCCGUAGCUGGUCUGAGAGGACGACCAGCCACACUGGGACUGAGACACGGCCCAGACUCCUACGGGAGGCAGCAGUGGGGAAUUUUGGACAAUGGGCGCAAGCCUGAUCCAGCCAUGCCGCGUGUGUGAAGAAGGCCUCGGUUGUAAG